Molecule: long non-coding RNA, 1040 nt
Organism: Megalobrama amblycephala (Wuchang bream)
Lineage: Eukaryota; Metazoa; Chordata; Actinopteri; Cypriniformes; Xenocyprididae
Exons: 6
Source: RefSeq, a predicted model, not a curated record
GCUAUAAAAACGGGAACAUGCGCGUUAUCUGGGAUGCGUCAUUUGGGGAACUGUUGCGUCGUUAACGCGCUUCCGUCACUUCCCGGAACUGGAUGUGAGUGCUCGACACGAGACUGCAACUUGGUUGGAGAGCAGUUCUACCUGGACUCGGCGAGUUUUGCUGCAAUGUCGUUUAUUAUUGUUUACAUGUAGUGGGUGUAGACAUCGAAGAAGCUGUGAGAACCAGAUGCACUUGCUGGGUCGCUGUUUUCUGUACCGGCGUUUGCUUGAAAAGACUCUAUUUGUUGGCUCUUUAUAGAAACGUUAAUCCCUGCAAUUGGGCCUGAGCACCAGGGGCAGAGGACUGGUUUUAGGUGGUGGUAUAUCCCUCACAAGUGUGCAGUGACCACCUCACCGUGUGUGUGUGUGUGUGUGUGUGUGUGUGCGUGUGCGCGUGUGGACACAGUAAAGUGCAGUGAUUCACCUACAGGUGGUGUGGUCUGAUUACCCGUUUUUACUGAGGAAGUGGGCGUCUCUGUCACAUUCAGCACUUCAUGUUAAACAUGUAACCAGGAAAGAAACACUCAAAACUCAUCUGAACACACAUCGAGAGCUUCAGAAGAACUGAAUCUACUGACAACAGAGAAGAUCAUUUAAUAAGAGAGAAGAAUGAAGAUCAUCUUGACUUUCACUCUGCUGAUGAUUCCUGGAGUCGUGAGCUCCAUCAGUGUGACGGGAUAUUCAGGAGGAGUCGUCACGAUCAAAUGCAAAUAUGAAAGAGGAUAUGCAGCAAAUGUAAAGUAUUUUUGUAAAGGACAGUGGUCAGGCUGCAUAUACCAAAUCAGGACCGAUGAGAAAAAUAAAUGGGUUCAAGAACAAGAACAAGAACAACAACAACAUCAUCAUCAUCAUCCUCAUCAUCACCAUCAUCAGCAGGUGAUCUUGUGCUGAAAUACAAACAUGAUCAAUGGGUGUAGUUUGUGAGGAGGCCUGACCCCCUAUAGCAUUACAUUAAACAUUAAAAUAAAUUAUAUUUUCAACUGUAAAAUAAAUAAAUAAUA